UCAUCUUCGGGGGUAGAGCACUGUUUCGGCUAGGGGGCCAUCCCGGCUUACCAACCCGAUGCAAACUACGAAUACCGAAGAAUGUUAUCACGGGAGACACACGGCGGGUGCUAACGUCCGUCGUGAAGAGGGAAACAACCCAGACCGCCAGCUAAGGUCCCAAAGUCAUGGUUAAGUGGGAAACGAUGUGGGAAGGCACAGACAGCCAGGAUGUUGGCUUAGAAGCAGCCAUCAUUUAAAGAAAGCGUAAUAGCUCACUGGUCGAGUCGGCCUGCGCGGAAGAUGUAACGGGGCUAAACCAUGCACCGAAGCUGCGGCAGCGACACUAUGUGUUGUUGGGUAGGGGAGCGUUCUGUAAGCCGUUGAAGGUGUGCUGUGAGGCAUGCUGGAGGUAUCAGAAGUGCGAAUGCUGACAUAAGUAACGAUAAAGCGGGUGAAAAGCCCGCUCGCCGGAAGACCAAGGGUUCCUGUCCAACGUUAAUCGGGGCAGGGUGAGUCGACCCCUAAGGCGAGGCCGAAAGGCGUAGUCGAUGGGAAACAGGUUAAUAUUCCUGUACUUGGUGUUACUGCGAAGGGGGGACGGAGAAGGCUAUGUCAGCCGGGCGACGGUUGUCCCGGUUUAAGCGUGUAGGUGUGUGUUCCAGGCAAAUCCGGUUCACUUUAACACUGAGGCGUGAUGACGAGGCACUACGGUGCUGAAGUGAUAAAUGCCCUGCUUCCAGGAAAAGCCUCUAAGCAUCAGGUAACACGAAAUCGUACCCCAAACCGACACAGGUGGUCAGGUAGAGAAUACCAAGGCGCUUGAGAGAACUCGGGUGAAGGAACUAGGCAAAAUGGUGCCGUAACUUCGGGAGAAGGCACGCUGAUAUGUAGGUGAAGUCCCUGCGGACGGAGCUGAAAUCAGUCGAAGAUACCAGCUGGCUGCAACUGUUUAUUAAAAACACAGCACUGUGCAAACACGAAAGUGGACGUAUACGGUGUGACGCCUGCCCGGUGCCGGAAGGUUAAUUGAUGGGGUUAGCGGCAACGCGAAGCUCUUGAUCGAAGCCCCGGUAAACGGCGGCCGUAACUAUAACGGUCCUAAGGUAGCGAAAUUCCUUGUCGGGUAAGUUCCGACCUGCACGAAUGGCGUAAUGAUGGCCAGGCUGUCUCCACCCGAGACUCAGUGAAAUUGAACUCGCUGUGAAGAUGCAGUGUACCCGCGGCAAGACGGAAAGACCCCGUGAACCUUUACUAUAGCUUGACACUGAACACUGGUCCUUGAUGUGUAGGAUAGGUGGGAGGCUUUGAAGCGUGGACGCCAGUCUGCGUGGAGCCGUCCUUGAAAUACCACCCUUUAAUGGCUGGUGUUCUAACGUGGACCCGU
RNAcentral lists this ribosomal RNA (1366 nucleotides) under Enterobacter bugandensis. RNAcentral's name for it is "partial 23S ribosomal RNA". It matches the Rfam family "Bacterial large subunit ribosomal RNA", at positions 890 to 2236 of the family's 2925-position model. Lineage: Bacteria; Pseudomonadati; Pseudomonadota; Gammaproteobacteria; Enterobacterales; Enterobacteriaceae. The record is from RNAcentral.